Non-coding RNA from Rattus norvegicus (Norway rat), 41036 nucleotides. The record is from RefSeq and is a predicted model, not a curated record. NCBI's taxonomy places the organism in Eukaryota, Metazoa, Chordata, Mammalia, Rodentia, Muridae.
GGCUGAAGGCUUACAUGCGAAAGUAAGAUUAUAUCAUGGGAUAAGUAAGAAACUUGGAAUAUCACACAGUCUUCUUAUAUUUCAGGUCCUAUCCUAGGACUAUAAUGAUUCUCUGCUAUAAUGAUUCAUUCAGAUAUGUAUGCUAACCACAAACACGGCAGCUAGGAUAUUGAUAAGCAUUGAAAGUACCGCUCCUGUGUUCCAUUGCUGGAACCUACUUUCAACACUAUGGAUCAUUCUGACCCAGAAAGGCCUCUUGUUAGUGAGACAUGGGCAACGUGAGUAAUGAUUCUCUGAAGAAAAAGUCAGGAGCAGAGCAGAAAGCUAAUGCAUUUUUCUUAACCCUCUUCACCCCCAAUCAGAGCUCUAGUUGGCCCUUAGAGUGAUUUUGUAGAAAAAUCACCACCUUCAGGUACAUAGAAUGUGUGGAAAAUGGGAUCUAGCAAGACAGGUGGGACUAUAUGAAACCCCUUUCAUGUUUGAAGAUUCUCUAGAAAGACUUCAUGGAUGCCACAUGUAGGCAUGUUUAUAGCUUUGCAUUAUCAUGACAAAAAGGAUGCAAAGUAGAAUUAACAAGGGACAGACUCAUGGGAAACACACCUCCCGGAGGACACUGAGUGCAAUGUUUCUAGCUUUCCUCCUGUGUAGCAUGUAGAGUGUCUUCAAUCACCAUCCAUGCUUCCUCCAUGGGAAGUUCAUUAGUUUUUCAUCAUCUGGAGUUUCUGUGAGGAAGUGUGGACACUUAGACAUCUAGCAUGUAUUCAAUCCAGCUGCUACAAAGAAAAGCAUGCACAUACCUUGACCCACAGUUUGUAUAUCAAGCAUAGUAAUAAGGACCUGAUCAAAGUUGAGAAACAGUGGGGCAUUUCAAAAAUAUCACUUUCCAAAUAUUAGCUCUGAGCCAAAUAUGCAAGCAGCUGAUUCUAUCUCUAGCUCUCUCAGGCCUGCUGCUUCCAUUAACAUACAUUAGCACAGCUACAGGUAUGUGAACUCUCAUUGGUAAAGAAGAUGCCUUCAUGUAGCAGGACAGAAUAAUUACAAAGUAGGAUGUGAGUGAGGCUUUGUUCCCGUCUCUCUCCUUGGUCAGACAUAUGUGGCCUAUAGAGCACUUGCCCAGCUUUGCAUUAUGCCUCUACUUUCUGUGGAAGUAUGGCAUCUUAGGACAUGACAGCUAAUUUUAUUUUCUCUUCUCUUCCUAGUGUUCUAAGUUUUGUCUGACAGCAUUUUUUCCACAAACUCUGUUUUCUUUCUUUGGCAUAAUUUUUUGGAUGUACCAUAGGGACUAAUGGAUGUCAUGCUAGGACCUUUGGUGACAUCUUAUUUUUGCCCAUUGGGUACUGACUGUAAGCCUGAAUAUAUGAUAUUUAUCUAAUAAUCCCAUGACUGAUCUUAUUGAUGUCUCUGUGUUUCAAUUAUUUUUUGUUUCAGUUUUCUCCUAGAAGCCUCUCUGUGACACAGGACAGUGCUCAAAUAGUCAAGGUUUAACAAAGUGAAGAUGCUUCCUGUCGAAAUAGCAGCGUUUCUAUUGAAUAAAAUCAAAGUUAUUACUUCAUGGAAAGAAUCAGCACAGAGAGGCCAUCUUUGCCCACCUUUAGAUAACCCUUGAUUGUCUGGUCUCCCAGUGAGUUUGGCCAGGGCUCACUGCCAUGGUAUGGCAUUAGAAUCUAGAGCAUGAUGGUUCGGACAGGGCAAGAAAUUGAGAGUGACUAGAAAUUGACAAUAUUUGGGGAUAAGUAGCAAUUAUACAAAUAUGAAGAAGCCUAUUAGGAUACUAAAUUAAAAGUACAUUAUGGGGUGCUGGGGCUCAUAGAGCUAAUAUUCAGCUAGCUGAGAGAGUAGACUGUAUCUAGUACAAGCAUUAGGAUAUGUGUUUGAAUCCGCAAAACUUGUGUAUGAAGUUGGGGGUAAUCACCCAUUACCUGUAACCUUAGAAUCCAUGGUGAGGUAACAAGAACAGAAACAGAGGGAUCACUGCUUUUUUCCUGCCAUCCUACUUCCAGGUUCAAUAAGAGAGCUUGAGUCAAGUUUAUAAGGCAGAGCAGGACACCUGACAACUUUGGGCUUCUUCAUGCCUCAUGAACAUGCAUCUGCAUUCAACGUACACACACAGAGUGUGUGAAAGAGAGAGAGAGAGAGUGAGAGAGAGAAAGAGAGAGAGAGAGACAGAGAGAGAGAGAGAGACAGAGACAGAGACAGAGACACAGAGAGACAGAGAGACAGAGACAGAGAAAGAGACAGAGGAAUAGAGUGACAGAGAGAGAUAUGUAAGAGAGGAGGAUCGUACUCAAGGUAUGAUGCAGUGGGCAAAUUCAAAACCAGAGCAUAAAUGAGGGGUAGAGCAAUACAAGGCAGAGAAGCAAUUACUUUUGUAAGAACAACUUUGGGUAUUCAUUUUAAAAUGUAUUAUAACCCAUCUCCUCCUUUUGAAAAGAAAUUGUCAAGUGAAAGGGUCAGCUAUCUGUUCCAAAAGUAGUCUGUACCAAAAAUAAGGCUUAAUUUACUCAGGUUUAAUUUAUAGCUUCACAGCUGUCGAAAUACCUAUUCAGGUGGGAAUGCUGGUCUUGUGGAGACAUACCACUGUUAAGGAUAUUUAAUAUUCAAUAAAGCCACUUCCUCAACAUUGUGCUUUAAUAUAUUGACUUGGGUCUCAUUGAAAAUCUGAGACACAAGUUCCAUGAUCUAUAUACUUAAUAAACCUUUAAAUAAUGGAACAGGAUAGACUUGAAGGGCCAGCUGUCUUUGUUUCUGUUUUAUGUCUGCAUUUUUAAGGGACUGAAGUUUAGGAAUUAGACUAGUCUUGGCAGUGUUGCAGAGUUAUCAAAGAUCUUUCAUUCUCUCACAUGGCUUUUUACCAUUGUUGCCACAUAGAAGUGCUUCUUUAUUUAUGCUUAAUACUCUUAUAUUUCUCCACGAUUUUUCCUGUUACUUCUGUGAAGAAUUUGCCUUCCCUGGGGUUCAUUAAUGUUUGAGCUUUACUUGUUAAGCAUUCAAGUUCUGCUUUCAUAGGGGAAAUGAUCUCAUCUGUCAUUAGAUGAAUUCAAACAAAAACAGGGAGUGGAAGUUUAUUGUAGUAUGACUGUGAAAUCUCUUCCACCGACUUAUGUGUUUGAACACUUUGUCCCUAACUGGUGGCACUGUCUGAGAAGAUUAUAGAACCUUAGGAUGAGGAGCAUUGGUGGAAGGAGGGGGUCACUUCUGGAGAGGGGCCAACCUUAUUGAUAGUCAAGCUCCACUUCCUGUUCACUCUCCACUUCCUGACUAUAGAUGCAAGGAACCAGCUACCUGCUGCCAUGUCUUUCCCAUGAUGAGUUGCGUGCGUUCAACCUGUGAAUCAAAACAAACUCUUUCUUUGUUAUGUUGCUUUUCUUAAGGCAUUUUGUCAUGUUAAUGAGAACAGUAAGACAAGCUUAUAGUUCGAAUGGGGAUAAACCAAGUGCAAUGUGAGCUGAUGUUUGGGACAGUGCUUUUAUAUGUCCUAGCUCCUCCCACGCAAAUCAUUUCACAGAGUGACCAAGUGAUGUCUCAGAUCUUACAUUAUUUCCAGAAAGAGUUCUGGACAUCCAAAUCCCUGUGCUCAGACUUGCACAGCAAACAGUUAACUGACUGUGCACUCAUCCUGGCAAUUAGCAGAGAGUUUAUAUACCCUGACUGGACAUCAUAAUGUCUUAACAUUUUGAUUAAAGUUGUAGAUUCCCCAGUGUCACUGGUCAAAAGCUGCUGCAUUGAACCUUCUCUAGUUAGGGGUUAAAUAUUUGUAGUGUCACCAUCUUUCAAGGAAAAGCAGUAUUUGAACCCAAAAUGGCAGACAAAAGCAAGUUAAUAUCCUUCUAAGUUAUGUAUUUUCAGUAUGCAGUAUUCAGAAGAAGGGUGGGAGAGGAGAGCUGAGCUUUUUGUGUAACCAGAGAGAUGCUUUGAAUCUGCAGUUGCUUACUUUAAGUGCCAGUACAAUAAAGAAGGACUGGGAUUAGGGCCAUGUCCAAGGAACCCAAGACAAAGCCAGACAAAACACAAGAGGCUGGUGACUGACGAGGGCAAUUCUCUUAUCCAUACUUAAAAAACAAUCAUUUCUCUUGGCUCCCUCUCUGCUUUUGGCAGCAAGAAAUCUGCAUGGUUUCUAGAUGUGCUUUGCUAUAUUUCUAGCUACUUCUGCCAGCAACUCAAUGUGGAUCGAGGUUUUCCAACCCCCAACUUUCCUAAUCCCAACUCCACCUCCUCCCUCAUGACCUCUUCCCCCACUAUACCACCUAGAAAAAAGGGGUAUGUUAUUAUAGUGGGACAACUAUUUUCUAACAUUUGACACAAAGAGAUAGUACUCAGGUACAAUUUCCCAAACACACGAUUUCAGUCUUAGUAUGGUCUAAGGCAUAAUUAUGAAGGCUGUCUCUGUGUUUGCUGCCUACCAUGUAGUUAACAGGGAGGGAUGGUCUCUUAUUCUCUAUUAAAUGUUUUGAAAGAAAACAAACAGGCAUGGCAAGGUUCAAGCACCAAGCAGAAAUGGGAAUUGGAAUGUCCCCACAUCCAUAGGCAGGCACAAGUUUUAAUUAUCUCCUUAGUCAGUAUUAGUUUUUGUAUUUCUAUCAAAAAGAGAGAAUGAUAACUUGCUUUCACAUACACACAGGGAAUGAAAUUGGUUUGUGAACAUGAUCUGCUUAACUGGUUAGGAAUAUGUCUUGCUUUCAUUUCUCUUACGUUUCCCAUUUCAGUGAUUAUUUUUCUCAUUGUAUUAAUAGAUACAGUAAAUAUGGAAAGAACAAAACUGUGAAAAGAUGAACAACCCAUGACCUCAUGGUUCAGAUAAAUAUGCCAUCAAUCUUUUCACAUGUUUUUAUAUUCAAUCUCUUUUAAAAAGUUAUAUUAAUUAAUUUAUUUUAUUUAUGCAUAUGCAUGUGAUUCUGCCUUAGUUUAUGAACACCACACAUAAAGAUGUCAACAUAUCAGCUAUUUAUUUUAUUUUUAUUGCAACUCUAUCUUUUCAGCUGUCCUUGGUCAGAUGAUUGGUGUUCAUUUAGUUGUGAGCAGCUUCUAAACCUGCUUCGUCUAUGAUACCUUUAAGGAACGUGAAAGAGUGUGGAAAGUGCAUUCCUCAAAAGUAGAAAACUAACAAACUUACAAACUAAAAAACAAACACAAAAAAAAUGCCUACAUAAAGCAAAGUAGCUGAGGAAUUCUGAGUUAGGUUGGCAAUCCAUUCCUUAACAGCUAGAUGAUGCCCACCAAACUUCACAGUUGUAGCCCUUUCUGCUUAUGGGAAAGUAAAACUGGCUAAUUCCCAGAGUUGUGCUAAUUAAUGAUGACCUAUGGGAUCACUUAAUAAAUGUUGACUUUACUUGAAAUCAUUCUAGGCUAUGCAUUGCUAUAAAUCAUUGAACAUCUUUUAGCUAUAUGUCAGUCUUUAAAAGGAGUCAUAUAAAAUAUGUCUUGAUAUCCUGUGAGACUGUAAGAGACAGAAGAAACUGUUAACAUUUGGCAGUCACAUCAAAAUCUCUAAUCAUUGAAACUCAGCAUUUGUUUAGGGAGAAGAGUCUGUCAGUAGAGUACUUGCUGCACAUUCAUGAUCUUCUGACCUUGGACAUCUGGAUCUGCAUGAAGAGCCAGUGAGACUACUGGAAACUACCUGUGACCCAAAGGGUAGUGAGGCAGAGACAGGUGGACCCCUGGAACUUUCUGGAUAGUUGAUCCAGAUGAAGCUCCAGUUUCAGAGAGGGAGAGAGAGAGAGAGAGAGAGAGAGAGAGAGAGAGAGAGAGAGAGAGAGAGACAGAGAGACAGACAGAGACAGACAGAGACAGAGAGACAGAGUGUCAGUCUUAAAAACAAAGGUGAGGAAUGACAGAGAGAGAAAUUGAAAGUCAAACUCUGCCCUCUGUGCAUACACCAUCCCAUGCAUGUGUAAAUAUAUAUAUAUAUAUAUAUAUAUAUAUAUAUAUAUACACAAAAUGCCUUCAAUAUUAAUUAUAAAACUGUGGGAAAAAUCAGGAAAUGUAUGCUUAAGACAUGCCUUCCAGUUUCUGGUUUUCUUUUUCAGGGAAUUGGAGUUGAGUUUGUGGUAGAAUAAAGUCUUAUAGGGUUUAAUGACAGUAUACUUUUAAGGAUCCAAGAAACAUAUUAACAUAUUUCUGCACAACAGUGAAACUAUUGAAGAAGAUAACCCAUCUUGGUGAUGGGCAUUACCUCAAUAGAGGAGACUGAGAAUGUCAGACAAUCAGCAUUGGAUUUCAUCUUUGAAAAGGAGAAUGCGAGGACCAAAAAGACUGAGUGAGCUGUCAGGGUAUAAGCUUUAAGGAAAAAAGAAAUUGAGAUGAAAAUCCAGAUCCCAGCUUUCACCUUCUUCACCCCUUAGGUUUUCUCAUACUUCAUCAGAAAUCCUCACCUAAUAUCAUCUCUAUGCGUUUUUCAAAAUGCUAUCUAGGUGUUCAAGGAAAUGGAUAAGCGGUUAAUAGAUCUUGUGGGUCUUCCAGAGGAUCUGAGUUUAACACUGCACGUUCCUACUGGGCAGUUCAACUGGAACACUAGCUCCAGAGUACCUGACACUCUAUUUUGGCCUGUCAGUUCACCUAUCCAUGUGUGACAUACACAUUCAUACACAUGCACAUUAACGCAAAUUAAAUUAAAAUAAUAAAUCUGAUUUAGAGUAAAACUAAAGGUAGAUUUCAUUACAUGUUCCACAUUGAGCAAAUUUGCAGAGUGCCUAUAUUUUAUUAUAGUUGCCAUUCCUUUCAUUCUCCACCCUAUAGCCCAGUUUCUAUGGCUUAGUCUUUUCAUUCAAAUAACUCUUUUUAAUAGAAAUAAAUCUCUUGUGGAUUUUUAUGUUAUAUGUCAAGCUCCCUUAUGAAUCUGUCUAAAACAUCUGACGAUUACAUAAAUCCCAGAGCAGCAGGGGCUUGCCUUCCACACAUCUAAUUAACCUUUAAUUGUCUAUUGUGACUGCCAUGCAGUUCAAUAGUUGCUUGAUUUUUAUUAUCCACCUAAUUAGUGUGGUUUAAGUGGCUUUUUAUGUCAGAUUUUAUUAUAUCAGCUUGCUUACACAAUUUUAGAACACACCAGGGAGUUCUAAUAAUGUUAAUGCUGAAGUGUUCUAUGUAUAUGUGUUUGACUUCCCUUUUAAGGCAGAAGUGCUUUGACCAGUUUCCCCCACUAGGGUGUAUGAGUAGUCCAUGAAAUUCUUCAAUGCUGGCAAAAGGCUUUCCAUUAAUUAUACAUCAAUUAUGAACGCAGCCUGUCAUCCUCAAGUGGCUUUUCUACACAAUAAACCAUCUUGGAUUUUUGAAACAAAGGGAAAGAAAAUACAUUAUAAUAGUACAAUCCAGGAGCAAACUAGCAAAUGCAUGUAUUUGUGAAAUUGUUGCUCAUCUUGCCUUUGUGAUUUGUCAAUGGUAACUGUCAACUGUAACUGUAUGAGUUAUGCAUCGAUAAAAGGAGGGUGAGGCCCACACCAGUGUUACUUAUGCAAAUUUGGGCUCUCUGUACCAUUAAUUCCCUUUCAUUUCUUAUCUUUGCUUCUGGGAAUCUUCUAAAAAUCAAGAUUCACCUUGCCAUCAAUGGAAUUAUUUGGAUUUUCAUAUUCCUAUUGUGUUCUGUGAAAUCGCUAUAUAAUUGGAUAUUAGCCUGAGAGUAACUUGUUCUAUUCCUACAGAGCAGACAGUUGUUUCUAAUACUGACUGGAGUUAGUUUUCCCUGGUCUCUAUAAGCUCUUCUGUUAUAUUCUUGCCUUGAUUACUUAGCUUUAAAAUAGAAUUAAGAUAUCUGUUUGGGCUAGGGGGAGAACUGAGGGGAUAAAGUGGUGGCUGCACAAAUGUAAGAACUUGAGUCCAGAUUCUAAAGAUCCUAGUGUUCCUACAGAGAAAUUGGAGGGCAGAGACAUGAAGCAAGGUGGACAGCUUGGACCAACACCUGACCCUGUCUUCUGACUUAACAUGUGGUGACACAUAUGUGCUUACACAUGAUAGGUCUACUUACCUCUCCACCACACAUUAUAAAAGGAAUGAAAGUAAUUAUUUCUAUAAUUCUGUUCCUGAUUCUGUGUUUUUGAGUGACAAAAUAUCUAGUGUUUUAUACUGUAUUGUGUUUUGUGAAUCGGCGAAAUGUUAGUGGCAAUUGCCUCACAUCGGAAAACAAUGGCACAGUGUAGAAGGAGAGCACUAGGAUAGGCUGUCUCCACACAAAAUAGGAAGUAAUGGGUCCAUUUUGUCUCUGGUUCAUUGUUUAGCCUUAGGUACACACCAUGCUCCUUACAAUCUCAGCUGGUAAACAAGGAUUUUCAGUCAGGGGAAAGGAAGAACAUGCCAUCAGUUACAAUGGACUAAAGUUAUCUAAAGAAGUCAUAUAUUAUCCUGGAUUAAUUGUCAUAUAUUUACUGAAUAGCUUCUGUGUAUUAGGGAUAGAAAGGAGGAGCUUGAAGAUGCUGACUAACCGUAGCAUUUUAUCAGAUGUGUGCACCCUACCAACACUUAACAAAUAAAAAUAUAAUAUAAAUUCUUUGGUUAAGUUUGGGUUGGGAACCAGUGAUACAAAGAUUAAUUUGAAAUCAUUCACAUUGCCUCUGUGCUCACUAUUUGACAAGUGACAUCCAUUUAAUGUUAAUUAUUUUUAUAAUGCGAUAAGACAAAGUCGAUAAAUGCAAAAAGAGAAGACACUUGGAUUGAGACAUGCGUGAAAAGCUCUUAUGUUUGUUACCAUGUUAUAAAUGUGAUGGGGAGAUCACCCAGUAGGCAAAGGCACUUGCUCUAUAAUUCUGGUUUCUUGGGUCAAUCUUAGGAGCCCACAUAAAAAAGGCAGAUUGUGGGCACGUGCAUUGGUAAUUUCAGCACCAUUACAGUAAGGUGGGAGAUGGAUAGGGAAGAAUUUCCCAGAAGCUCAUGGGCUGGCUAGCCUAGAGAACACACAUGAGAAGUGCAAAAACAAGAGGGCCAGCAGAAAGAAUGGAAACCGGUGGCCUUGGGAGGAAGGAGCUUGGGAAGACCCUCUAAAAUGUACCAGAGACCUGGAAAGUGAGAGACUCUCAGGACUCAAAGGGAGGGACCCUAGAUGGAAGACCCUACAGUGGGGAGAGGGAACUUAUUGAAUCCACCUCCAGCAGAAAGACAGGGCAUCAAGUAAGGGAUAGGGUUGCUAUCUCACAGCCAAAGCUCUGACCCAUGAUUAUUCCUGUCUGAAAGAACUGCAGGGAUGGAAAUGGAGAAGAGCCUAAGGAAGGAAAGGUGCAAGGACAGGCUCAAAAGUAUAUUCAGCUCAAGGGGAGGCACCAAGACCUGAAACCAUUACUGAAGCUAUGGGACAUUUACAUAAAAGGACUUCCAUGGCUGCUCUCCAAAAGACCCAACAAGCAGCUAAAAGAAUCAGAUGCAGAUAUGUGCACCCAACCAAUGAACAGAAGCUGAUGACCCCUCAGGUUGAAUUAGGGAAAAGCUGGAGGAAGCUAAGGAGGAGGGCAACCCUGUAGGAUGACCAGCAGUCUCAAUUAAUCUGGACCCCUGAGAUCUCUCAGACACUGGAUCACCAGCCCGACAGCAUACACAAGCUUAGAUGAGACUUCCAACUCAUAUACAGCAGAGGACACCUGGGUCUGCAUUCAGUCAGGAAAGAUUCACCUAAUCCUCAAGAGACUGGAGGCCCUAGGAAGUUUAGAGGUCUGGUAGGUUGGGUGGUGUACGGACAUCCUUGUGAAGACAGGGGGGAGGGAGUGGGGGGAGAAGAGGUAUGGGACAUUGAACCCUUAGGGGAGGUGGACCAGGGGGGAAUAAAAUCUAGAGUGUAAAAAUAAAUAAAUAAAAUAAAUAAACAAAUAAAAUAAACAAACGAAUAAAUAAAAGAGAGACUCUUCCUCAAAUAAAUUGAAGAAGAGAACUUUGAACUCCCCACUCACAAUGUGGAUUGAACACACCCUUUCAUGAACAAAAUAAUUACAAACAAAACAAACCUGAAUUAACCAUGUUCAUGAGUAUACACUGUCUAUGGAUACAGCAAAUAGCAAUACUGAUAAAGAAAGAAAUAGAAAAUAAUGGUGUCUCUUUGGGUUGUUGCUUUUGAACUUCUUUUCCUGAAUUACUCAUAAGACCUUUGGUGUCUGUGUGCUUGUUCAUGUUUGUGAAAGAAUACACACACACACACACACACACACACACACACACACACACAGACACACACGUGUUGUGUGUGCAGAGCCAUGAGACAAUCUUGAUUUUUUUUAUUCCUCAGUGACAUCUACCUUUUUCCCCAUUUUUGUCCUAAGAUGCGAUCUCUCAUUGGUCAUUCAUUAAGUAGGCCAGAAUGAUUGAGUGCCAGCGAUCUUCUAGCCUCACCUCCCUAAUGCUGAGAUUACAACUAUGUACUGCCACACCCUGGGUUUUGUCACAGGGGCUAUGAGAAUUUGAUUCACUUUCCCAUGUUAGUAGGACAAACACUUUAGUGACUAAGCCAUCUUCCCAGCCCAUAACUACAUUUAUUAUGCUGUGUAACUUUGUAGAGCUUUCCAUUAAAGCUCCCAUUCCAUCCACAGUAAUGGUACUGAUUGAUUUAGCUUCCCUCAGUGGAAUAUUUUACGCCAAGGAAGAGACACUUUGGCAGUUAUUAGCUGGAUUUUGGAAUUGUGAGAAGUUUCUUCUAGUAUAUUUAUACUAUCUUUAGCUAAGUGAAGGAGCAUGCUUAAUGAAUCAGUUGUUCUUCAGCCUCUGAAGCGAACAAAGAAACACACACACACAUACACACACACACACACACACACACACACACACACACACACACAUAAAAUCCAACUGGAAGCACAGGUUCAAAUUAAACUCAACUCAAAGUCAUUAAAACUAGAUGACCAUAAAACGUACUAGGGAACAUUUGAAUAAGUGUAGUUGUAAUAUGGUUAUCAGAGUUUGCUGACAUUGCAAUUGUUGGGGAAAGAACUAUUAACUGGUUAAUAAAGUAAACCUUAUAAUCCCAAAGUAAAAGCUCCUUGUUGCUAAAGAAAAAAGGGAGAAAGAAGAAAAAGUAAAGUAACAAAAUGCAGUAUGUAGUUCUUGCUUGGGUCCUGGUUUUAAAAUACGGCUAAAAGAAUUUGAAGACAAUUGGAAAAAUAAUUAUGAAUUUCUAUUAAAUCCUAUUCAGAAGUCAUUAACUUAAGUUUGGAAGUAGGUUAAAAAGCUGCAAGUUGUAGAAAUGUAUAUUAAUCAUUAAACAUUUCUAACUCACAUGUGAAUAAUUUAUCUAAAUUUAGUUAAAAAUAGAUGCUGUAACUAUGGUAAGAAUUAAUGUCAGUAAAAUUUAGAGAACAGAUAAAAGAUAUUUAAUAUUCUUGAUUCUCAUCUUCCAAAUUUUCUAUGUGUUUUGGUAUUUUGUUGUAUAUGUUUGUAAGUGUAUGUAGAUGCAUUUGUGUGUAUAUUUGCAGAGCCCAAAGAUUGAUGCCAUGUACCUUCCUCUAUUUCUCUCCAUCUUAAGUUUGGAGGCAGUCUCUCCAUUAACCUGGAGUUCACUUAUUUGGUUAGUUUGGUUGAUGAGGGAGUUUAUGUGAUCCGGCUGACUCUGAUUGCCUAGCACAGGGAUUAUAACCAAUCUUUCGGUUUCUGAACAGAUUGAAUUAAUGUUUUCAUGCUUUGGUGGCAAGAACAAUAUUGAAUGGCUAUUUCCUGAACCCUGGCAUUUUUGAAUAUGCGCGUGCGCGCGCGCGCGCGCGCGCGCGUGUGUGUGUGUGUGUGUGUGUGUGUGUGUGUUUACCCCCUGAUACUCCUGCCUCCAUUUUGUCAUGGCUGGAGUUACAGGCUAGAAUUAUAGUUCUGGUGUAGGCAGUUCUGAAGAUUGAACCUAGUACCUCUGGGAUGCUACCCACAGAGGAACAUCCCCAGCUGAAUAUAAGAGACUAGUGAAAAUGCAUAGAGGGGAUCAUCCACAUUGCCACUCCCUUUUUGAUUAGGUUCUGAAUUUAAUGUGAUCUUUAUAAUGUCUUCAAAGUUAGGUCAUCUUUUUAAAGAAUGAUGUCAGUAACCUUCAUGGAGGGAAGUGCAAAUGUCAUACUCGGUCUCUUCAAUGGAUACCAAAGUAAUACAGUUGGUGGUCAAUGGAUAGUUUCUGUCCACUUUAGUAAUACAUUUAAUGACAUUCCUGGUAGUAGAAGCAUGUAUGUGUGUGUGUGAGUGUGUGAGUGUAUGUGUGUGUGUGAGUGUGUGUGUGCGUAUGUGUGUGUGUGCGUGUGUGUGUGUAUGUGUGUGUGAGUGUGUGUGUGUGCGUGUGUGUGUGUGUGUGUGUGUGAGAGAGAGAGAGAGAGAGAGAGAGAGAGAGAGAGAGAUAAAGAUUUGUUGAAUGACUAAUUUCAAGCAGUGUCUUUUAAACCUACUGGCUAGAGAUUGUUCUAUAUUAGCUAUGGCAAUGUUGCAGGGUUUGCUGCCCAUCUGAGCUAACAGCACAACAAAACAGAGUGUGUACUCACAUAGCAAACAAUCUGCACAAUUGUUUUUUCCAUGUCUCUGUGCUGAGCUAAAUGUAUUUCGAAAGGGCAGGAUUAUGACACAAACAUCCAGACAUAGAUACUGCUGGCCUAUAAGACUGUCAGUGAUAAAAACGUUCCUCAUCUUAUUAAUACAGCAAGUGGCAGCACCACGUUAUAAAACUCUUUGAUCAUGUGUCUUGUGCUUACUCUGUGAUUGUCAGCACUCUGGAAGUGAUUGGCAAGUAGUGAACAUUUCUCAAGUGUAAAAUUUUAAAGAGAUAUACAAUGAUUUCAACUGAGUGAUUAGACAUAAAGCCUCAGCCAUCAAGUGUCUGAGUCUAGCUAUUAUCUCUUCUUGUAACAACACAAAGAUUAAGAAACUGAGGGUUUCACGAAGAGAUGAAAAGUCAGUGUUAUUAAUACUGAGAUAUACUCCCUUUUAAAACAUUUCUCCAGAAUGUUGUGAUACAAUUAUUUAUCUUGUCCCUUUCCAGUCCCAGGAAAUAAGAUAUGAUGGAUAUUUUUAAAGAGAAGAGUGAGGAUUUGGACUAAAAGUCUUGCGUGUAUCCAGUGUUGAGUUUUAAAAUUGUGAUAGUCCAAGUAAGGAUUAAAUAUAAUGAAUGACACCAAAACAAACCAGAUCGUUAUUGCUAUGUGGACUGAACCCUGACAAAGAAAACUAAAUUUCUAGGGUUAGAGAGAUGUCUCAGCACUUAAGAGGGCUUGCUGAUCACAGAAGCCACAUUGAGUGGCUAUUUACUCCCUGUUCUUCUAGCCAAAGGGGACCCAGUGUCCUCUUCUGGUCUCUUUGAGCUCCAUGCUUACUUCUGCCUAUGUGGCAUAUGUAUACACACACACACACACACACACACACACACACACGCACACGCACACGCACACGCACACAAACACACACAGUAUCUUUUUAAAAUCCUGUAUUUUCAAUGUUUCUUUUGUCUUUGGUACCUGUGGAGGGAGUGGGUAGAAAGGAAGCUAGGGAAACUGUGAUUGGGAUGUAUUGUAUGAGAGAAGAAUCUAUUUUUCAUUAAAAAAUAUGAGAGCUAAAAUGAAUACUGAACAAAUGUAAUGUGUAUAACAAAGCAGGAACAUUAAGUUAAAUAUCACCUAAAUUAAUUGACUCUGAACUCGUGAGACAACAGGAGGGAUGCCUGGACUUUUUAAUUUGUCUGAAUAAAUGUCUCCAUCUCUGUAUCCAUUUAAUGUGUGGUAUAGAGCUUGAGAGUUCAAGUUUGCACACUCCCCGGGCUUGUCGAUAUUAAUUAGAAAGGUUUGACGUGGGAGCACAGAACACAUGUUGAAAAGGAGAGGGCAUUAUGAUUGCAUGUUGGAAAUUUAUUUCUUGUGGGAAAGCUUGAUUGAGUAACUCACAUGAUCUGGUUAAGAAGCAUGAGAUGGUAAGUUUUGAGCAAACUGGGAACACUAUUGAUUAUCAAGAAGAAUUAUAGAAAAGGACCCAGAAGUUUGUUUAGAGGUUAAAGGUGUUUGCUUCCUGGCCUAAUGCCUGGAAUUUGAGCACAUAACCAAUGAGGUAGAAAAGAUAGUAAACAUAUAUGCAUUGUGUCACCCAGUAAAAUACACUUUAAAAGUAAACAUAGGAGAAAUUACAUACCACAUGUUUCUAUACAUAUAUAAUGAGGUCAAAUGUGAGAAGAAAACAUAAAAUAUCUUUUAGUUUAGAACAUUUGAAAACAUACUUACAUACUAAUAUACUUGGCACAACAUUAAAACAUUUAAAUAAUCUAGAAAAAAAUCAUGCAGCAGUGGACAUUGUUCUCCAAUAUUAUAACAUUUGAAACAUGGGGUUGAAUAAAUGUUAAGAUUGUGUACUGCAGUUCUAGAGGACCCAACCUGAGGUCCUAGCAUCCAUAUCAGAUUGUCUACCAUCCUCUGUAACUGUAGGUCCAGGAUAUUCAUUACCUUCUUAUGGCCUCAGUGGGUACCUACAUGCAUGUGCCAUACCAAGAUGAAGACACACACACACAUACACAUAAAUAAAACUUAGAAUACAACCGUAUAAAAUAUUCAAACUGCCUUAUCUCAUUUAUUUAAAAUAAAGAGUUCAUAUUCUCUAGUCUCACUUUUAUCUACUUCUCCUAAUGAAAGGAUCUUUCAAAAGUUAGCUUUUUUCAUGCUAACCCUGAGCCUAAAAGAUUUUGACAGUACUGUCUCUUUUGCCCAUGUGGUUUCUGACAGAAGGCUGAGAACCAUUGCAAUAUCCGUUUCACUCUACAAACUGCAUGCAAAUAACAUUUCUUCAGCUUCUUCUUGAAGUUACUCUGCAGGAGGCUGGAUGAAAGGCUGGAUGGUUUUUAAAUACCUUUAUCAUGACCCCAAACCAGCUUUUCUUCCAUACCUGUACAACCUCUAUUCUCCCUAAGACUACACCCAUGUAACUCAAAUUUUCUACUGAAAACAGCCUUCUGUGACCCUUGCCAUUGCAGCCUAAGGCAAAGCCCUCUUAUCAAUAAACUCCUACUAGGGUAGUUCAUUUAACACUCCUACCGUGUGUGUGUGUGUGUGUGUGUGUGUGUGUGUGUGUGUGUGUGUGUGAUCUGCAAGGAUGUAUCUGUAUGUGUGCAUGUGUGUAUGUGAAUGUUCAUGUGAAGGCCCGAGGUCAAUAUUGGGUGUCAUCCUAAAUUGCUCUCCCUUUUAACUUUUGAAACAACUUUUCUCAGCUCGACUGGCGGGCAAGUGAGCCCCAGGAACAAAUCUGUCUCUGUCUCCACACAGCUCGGGCUACAGAUAUGCGAUCAUGCCUGGUUCUCUUUUUACAGGCCUGCUAGGAAUCAGACUGGGGUUCUAAUGUUGAAACAUUUUAAUAUAUAAAGCUAUGUUCAAUUUAAUAAUUGUUGUUCCCUUCUUGUAAGAGUAUGACAAAUUGAAAAUAGUAUAUGCUAUUACACUUAUUUCCUCUCAGAGAAUGGCAUAAUAAGAGUAAGGAUUUCUGAAAAAGUCAUAAGGAAUCAUAAUACUUUACUAUUCACUUAAAAUAUCCUUAUAAUGUAUUUAGGUCUGUGUGUAAAUGUACAUAGACAGUGUUUUCUUAAGUGGGCUGACAAUGGUCCUGCCAAGACCCAAAGGUCAACUAAUAAAAUCUCCCACAUUGGGUGUAAGAAUGCUUCUUUUGAAUUGCUGGCCAAGAUUGUGCAAGAGACUCCCAAAACAUACAGGGUAUUUUUCUUGCCCCUGGUGACCCCCUAGAGAUAAGUUAAAUCGCUCUUGCUGAAGGUAGCAUGAACUUCAGAAAUAGGGCUCAGAGAACUCUGAGAUGGAGCUGACCUAUAAGCCUCCUAUCUGAAGUCUAGCUCUCAUGGUACCAGAAGGUGCCCUGCAAGCUUCCAAAGGAGGAAGGCAGCCAACAGUACUGCCCUGCUAUGCUGUCCAUGAACCAUAGUAAUAACCAGUAUGGCAUGAGAACCCUAAGAGUCAGUAGUGGCAUAUAUACCUUUGUGGUAACCAACAACUCAGCCAUUGGAUUUAAGACCCACUAAACAAAAAAGAAAUAAUGCCUGGCGCUGGAAACCCCACCACUAUAUAGAGCUAGUGAAUCUAGGAGGAGAAUUUACAACUACCAUUUUACUAAACCAGCAUCAUCCCUAAGGACACUCCAAUAUUUGUCUCUAUGCCCAGAGACACUGUAAUCCUCAUCCAUAAACAGGGAGCUUUCUCUUUCCAACAGAUGGAGACCAGUACAGAAAUCCCACAACCAAUCAACAUGUAGGGCUUUAGAGCCUAGUCCAAUGGAUAUGUAUACAAAAUAACUUCAGCAUAUCAGGCUCAGCCAGCAUUGCUGUAAGUGGGGGGUGGAAAGACUGUAAGAGGAAGAAGAUCACUGAGUUUUCUAUGAGGGUGUAUCUCCUAGUAAUGGCAGAGGAUACACUCAUAGCCUCAUCAUUGUAUCUGUCUAAACGUGAACUGAAGGACAACUAUAAUAGAACAAAGUGGAUGGGAAGAGCCCACAAGGCUCCAGAACUACAAGCAAUUAAGGAAUGCUGAGAGCAGUAGAAAUAGUCUUCCCCAAGGAUGAGCACAGUAGUUGAUUACCCAACACCAAACAGUGAUCCCUGAAAACAUACAUAUAGGUAACAUUACACCUAGCAGGUCGUAUUUAUGCAUAUGCAUAUACAUGCAUAUAUGACUAUAUUAACAAUCAAUUUAAAAGGAGGCUGUGAAUUUGAAAGACAGAAAGGAAGGUGUAUAGAAGAGUUUGGAUGGGGGGUGGACAUAAAGCAGAAACAUUGUGUUUAUAUUAUAAUUUCAAAAAUUAAAAAAAAAUGAAAGUAGUUUUUUUUUUUUAAAGAGAGAUAAUAUCUACUCCUGCCUUGAAUGCCCAGCUGGUAUUUAUGGAUGCACACUGUAUUUUAUUUUUGCCAUAUUAUCAGAGGUAUUUAUUUUUAACAAAUUUGAAAAUAUAAGAGAUAGUAGAUACAGCCCAGUGUCCUUAAGGUAUUUUUAAAUAUACAUUUUAUUUGUAACGAUGUGCGUGUAUGUGUGUUGGGAGAUAUGCAUGUCUGAGUGAAGGUGCCCACAGAAGUCAGAAGAGGGCGACAGAUACCAUGAGGCUAGAGUUACAGGUAGCUGGGAGUUUCUCCAGAUGGGUGCUCAGACUGAGGUCUCAGUAAGAAAAUGUGUUGUAACGAUUGUGUCAUCUCUCCAGAACUUCCUCAAAGGGUUUAUUGUUCUUUUAAAUAACAUUUACACAUAGAAAAGCAAGAUAAUUGACAGUAUGGGUAUGAGCAGCAAUUAUCUCUCUCUGAGGUCUGGGAACACAUGAUUGGAACCUGCCUUAGUAAAUGAUUUUGAGAUCCCAUGGAUGUCCUGAACUAAUGUAAGUAAGGAAAAUGAACAAACCUGGGGUGGGAGUGUAAUUUUCAUACAGUGGCCAUGAGCAAAUCAGUCUGUGUAAAUGAAACCUUCAUAGUUGUCAUGUAGACAGAGAGUGGGGGUGGCCUUUCUGAGGGUGGUUAAAGCCUUUUAAUUACUGCUUGUUCAAGACCAUCAUUUUCCUAUUCAGAACAUUAAUUUAGCUAAUUGUAAUGGACCAACAUCCUUGUGGUUUAACUGAGGUUAAAUAGUGAAGUCUCAUACUCAAUUUAAGGUGAAAAAGAAAACUAUUAUAAAGUAUUAUAAAAAUCUCUGCAUGUGCCUGCUACCUCUCACCCUAGGAAUUACCCAGAAACUCUCUAUGUAAUUGACAGAGCACAGCCAUUUAUUUUAUAGUACUCUUUACUCUUGUGCUUUUAUUUUAAACAGUAUAUCCAGAGUGCUUUAGAUGAAAGAAAUAGGGCGAUUAAUUGGCAAAUUGCAAACUUCUGAGUUAUGUCCCUGUCUUUAGCCCUAUUUUACAAACCAUCUGUAUUUAUUAGCAUAAUAGGACAUCUACACAACCUGAUGAAAUAUUCAGCACCUCGAGACUUGGGUGUGAUUCUCUCUCUCUCUCUCUCUCUCUCUCUCUCUCUCUCUCUCUCUCUCUCUCUCUCUCUCUCUCCCUUUCUGGGUGUCUGUGUAUAUCAUUUGUCUUUGGCGGUAGCCACAGGAUGUUCUCCAAAUCUGGAGGAAUUGGUCAAAUAAGAAUCUAACAUCACUGCCAAGAGAGGAUGGGUGACUGAAUCUUAUUUUUCAAUUGGAAGUCAUUAUUCAGAUCCUAAGCCAUGUAGAGACAGACAUGGAGAUGGAUAAAAAGCUCCACGGGUUCCAGAGAGACAGGAAGAAUGUGACCUUACCCACUGUCUUAUAGUCCUGUGUACUGUUCAGUAAGAAUAAAACAAAUGGAAAUAGGGUUGAAAAUGUAGUCUGCAAUGGGCAGACAGAUGAGGGUACUGGGCAAGCCUUUAACUGUGCACAGUUGUCACUGCUCCCUGACAGUUGUAAUGUAAUACCAACCACUGGGAAUCAGACUAAUUUCUCUCUCACUGUCCUUACUCCUUAGGAAAUCCAAUGCUAAAACUUAGCCUUGUCAUUGUUCCUUCCCUUCCAGCCAUGUGCUUUGCAUUGUGCUAUCUACUUGUUCCAUCAUAUGUGACUAUCACAUGGUCCAUAUAAGUCCCUCUGGGAAAAAUCAUAAACUCUUAACUGAGCUGUAAACUUUACCCACAUUCACAGAGAUCCCAGGUAGUGAAUAUUGGGUUUCAAUGAACCUUUAUCUUCAAAGACUUACUUUCUAGUGAGUAUUUUAUCACCCAGUGGAUCAUUAGUGCAUAUAAUCACGAUAUGUUCUGAUACUUUUCUGGAUAUGACGAGAUCCAGAGUCAUGAGACGAAAAGAUUCAUUAAUUUUUAUGUUCUUAUAUGCUUGUGUGUGAGAGUGGGGCUCUGCUUCUGCUGCGACACCUCUAUGGAGGUCAAACAUCUAUCUCUGGUGUUUGUCCUUACCUUACAUCUUGUUGGAGACAGUCCCUUGAGUUUUCCAUAAGCACACUAGGCUAAAGUAUUCAGGAUUCUAUGGAUUUAUUUUUAUAUCUCUUACUCAUAACCAUAGAAGUGUGGAGAAAAUAUAUACUUGUGUUAUAUGUCAGGAUUUUACAUCCUUUCUAGGAAUUUGAACCAAGGGUCUCAUGAUUCUAUAGUAAGUGGUUUAACCACUGUACCAUCUUUCCAUUGUAGGGCAGCAUCUAUUAGCUUCAGUAGUUUGCCACUCAAUUUUACUUGCAUACCCUCUCUUACUCUCUAAGCAUGUAAGGAAACACACAGGGCAUUCUUAUUUCAUUGGUGCAGCCUCCUUUAAUUAACAGUAUCUAUCAUUGUCUUGAAAACACACAUGCUUUCAUGUGUGUGUUUCAAUACUCUUCAAAAUGAUCUCAUCCACUGUUGGUACAUGAUUGUACUGUCCUGUGCAGAGUACUGUGCAGGGUACAAAGAAAUGACCUCAGUCUCAAAGGAGCUAAGUUUUAGAGUCAUUUUACUAUUUAACAUAUGGAGGAUGGGCAGCAUAUAUGUAGAAGCCUAACUGUGUUGGAGAAGAAAGGUCUUACUUUUCAUGGUUGUCUAAGUUCUGAAAACAAGGGCUUAUGGCUUCCACACACUGAUGGAUACCACAAGCUGAGAGAGUUUUAGAAAGACAGCAUUAGAGGAAAAAAAAAGGGUUAAGAUUUGGGCACUAGAUGUUAUUUGUCUGCCAUGCAUGAAUUAACCUUUUAUUUCUGUACCAAGCAGUUAGAUUGACUUUCUGCCAUAUAAAAUUAAAUGAGUCUAGCUUACAUGGUACAUAUUCCAAGAAUUGUUGACAAUUGGAAGUGGCAGAAGGAGCUAAGGUUAGGGUAGGGGGAGAUGGCAUGCUUUAAAUGAAUGCAUUACUGCAGAGCUAUAAUAGAGUGAAGGCAUUGUAUAGAAAAUAGGACUAUUUCCAGAUGUUUCCUAUAUUGUGCAAUGAAGGCACAUUUGAAUGAACCAGGCUGAUGGCAUGGUGACCUUUAAAGCAACAUAGCAAACAUGCACUGAGCCUUAAAAUGCAAUGCAGAAACAACACAUUUCUUACGUUAGUAGAAAAUGAAAAGAAGAUAUAAUUGUAAGCAUGCUAUCAGACACAAAAUAUUAUAACAUAUACUUACAGAAACAUUGAAUGUUGUCUGCUUAGUAAGACAUUCUCCAAAGUGAUGCUAUUUCUAUUGCUCCCAUAGCUCAUUUUAAAAGAUAAACACACUCUAAAUAUAAAAUAAGCAAACCAGAGAACACAGUAUUCGUUCAAAUUAUAUUUUGAGGUCAUCCAAGGUAUGCUUCUGGUUCAUUGCAAUUUGAAGAUUUUUUUUUAUAAACUGAUUUUCAACUGAGAUUUUGAGAAACACCAAGGCAAGUAAAAUUGUCAUGCUUUCUCCAAUGAAAAAAAUAGCAACGGUUAUUUUGUAAAUCCUAUUUAGAAAGCCACAUAGCAGCUAAAAUGCUGAAGGAAACAAAUAGUUUAAGAGUUCCAGAAUGCAAAUGUCUGCUUUCUUCUGAGAAGCAUCUAAGUGGGUCAGGCAAGGUGGCUCAGCUGGUUAAAGUGCCUGAACUCCAGAUUGAUCAUGGACAUUUUUCCUGGACUGAUACCAUGGAAGACAAGAACCAGUUCUCUUAACUGUCCUCUGACCUUCACGUGGGAAUCAUGAGGAUGUGUUUGCACACAGACAGACAAACACAUAGACAGACAGAUAGACACACAGACACACACAAACAUGUGCUUACAGUUGCAAACACAUGCAUGCACACAUGUACAUAAACACAAAAAUAUAACUGUUUUAAAGUGAAAGUAUGAAUUUAUUUGGUAAAUGUAAAUAGAGACCAACUUGACAAAUAUAGAAGAAGGAGGAUGAGGAGGAGAAUAAAAGGAAGAAGAGGAGGAAGAGAAAGAGGAACAAUACAUAAUGUUGGUAAAGUAAAUUAGGGGAAUUUUGAGGCAGGGAAUGAUGGUAGCUAUGAUAUGAUCAUAUUCCAUGAUAUAUAUGAAGGUAGUUCUCAAGAAUAAGGAAAUCAAACAAUAAAACUUUUAAUUAAAAAGCACCACUGUGACAAAUACCUGAAACAGAUUAAAGGAGGAUGCAUUUAUUUGGACUCAUUCAAAGUUGAUCUGCCCUCAUUGCUGUGGGUCUGUGGUAAGAAAGAAUCCCAUGAUAGCAGGAGCAUGGGAUAGGGAAAGCUUAUCAAUUUGUGACAAUCAAAACAUUCUUUUGGGUUGCCUUACCAUUGGUUAGAUUUAUUGGAAAUCUAAGUUACUCAAAAUAGUAAUUAAAAUAAUCAAGCUAUUUGAGUUCACCAAAUACUUACUGAGUACUUAUUGUGUGCUUCAUAUUAUUUAGUUUUUACAUUGAUGCAAGCCAUGUGCUUCAGGUUCCUACCCUGUCAAACGGGGAUGGUAAUAAACUCCUAGGGUUGUUAGAGUGGAUGGUUUAAUUAAGCUAAAGUAAGGACUUGCAAUGAUGGUGCUUGACAAAUUCUAUAAAUGAUUUUGUUGCUGCUCUACAAAUAGAUGUGCACAACAGAAAUGUGGGAGUGUGGAAGAAAUAAUGAAAGAAAGCAAAUCCCUAGUUCUACUCUUGGACUAAAUCUUUGUGAAGACAGUAAUGUAGUUUAGAUAGGUUUCUGUCAGAAGGCCAGGUGUUGGUUCCAAAAGCAGUGUUGACAGGCAGUUUGUGACACAAGGGGUCAAUUUUGUUAAUAGGUUAAUCCCUUGAAGAAUCAUGAACAUGAUGCCAAUUUUGGAAUGUGGGAAAGAGUAGGCCAUGAGACAUAGUUGAAGAAAAUAGGUAACUGGGCCUGUCUGUCUGUCUCUAUGUCUUUGUCUCUGUCUCUCCCUCCCUCCUUCCUUCCCUCCCUCCACCCUCCCUCCCUCCCUUCCUCUCCUUUUCCCUCUGUUUCUUUUCUGUCACAAAUCGAUAAGCUUUCCCUAUCCCAUGCUCCUGCUAUCAUGGGAUUCUUUCUUACCACAGACCCACAGCAAUGAGGACAGACCAACUUUGAAUGAGUCCAAAUAAAUGCAUCCUCCUUUAAUCCAUUUCAGGUAUUUGUCACAGUGGAGCUUUUUUAAUUAAAAGUUUUAUUGUAUUAUUUCCUUAUUCUUGAGAAUUUCUUUCAUUUGUGUCAUGAAAUAUGAUCAUAUCAUAGCUACCAUCAUUUCCUGCCUCAAAGUUCCCUUAUUUUACUUUUCCAACACUAUGUAUUGUUCUUCUUCUUCCUCUUUCUCUUCCUCCUCCUUUUCUUCUAUUCCUCCUCCUUCUUCUUCUAUACUCAUCGAGUUGCUCUCUAUUCAAGCCAAGAAUCAGAAAACCUCUCAGAAGAGGAAGGGGAAAGACAGUAAUAAUGAGAGAAUUAGGGGGAAUGCAGUGAAAUCCUGUCAUCUGGUCAUACCAUACUGUGGCACUCAAGAACUCUGGUUCUCUGCAGAAGACCUGCACAGGAUCAGUUCAGCUAAAAUCUCACCCUAGAUUCGUGAAGUGCUCCCCACCAACAGUAUUUAAUUUUUUUCUGCUUUUUGGUGCUAACAUAUGGAUUACAUGUAAAUUUUAUGAUAAUGCAGCAGUAUGAGAUAGAGUUAGAAUCACCAGGUAGCAGAUAACACACACAGUAAAUAUAAGCCAUCAAAAUAAGUUGACAAUACAAUAAAGAUCUCAUUUGUCUUCAGCAACUAUUCACUCUUACCAUUUUUGUUUCCCUCAGAGUUCUGUUUAAUUCCUUUGCUCUGCACAUUGCUUUCAAGGAAUAUUGUUUAAUUUAUGCUACAAUAUACAGGCUCAAGAGAUGAUUUGGUUUUAUUUUUGUCUUUGAUUUGCUAUUUACCCUUGAAAUGGGGUCUCUCAGUGAACCUGUCAGCCUAGCAGCUACUAAACUGCAGUGGACCUCUUGUUUCUGCCCCUCCUCCAGCACUGCUGUGUUAGGUACUUUAAUAUUUUUCUUGAGACCUGGAGGUUUGCAUGUAGGUCCUCAUUCUUGUCCAGGAAGCAUUAUUUUCCAUUUGGGCCAUGUUUUUAUCCCCAAUGAUCUGCCAUUAUAAAACCUUAAAGGGAUGAAAAUAAUUACAUAAUAUUUUAAAGAAUCAAGUUUGCUCUACAAUUAUGAUUAAUUUAUAUAAAUUAGAGUUUAAAUAAGGUUCAUGGCAUAGUGAAUUGAUUGCUUAGAUUCUUUAUCUACUUAUUUCUUUUUACUUUUUGGCAGUUGUUUCUCUGAGGGUGUAAUGAAGAAGACACUAGCUAGUGCUUCUUACAAGUUUGCUACUUCUUAACUUUCCUUCAUGUUUCUCUCAGGUGUCCUGCACAUGAAAUUCUCAUCCCGUUAUCCUCUUGUCAGUCAUUGGAUAUGCCUAGAGGUUUUAUUAAAUUUAGACAUGUGUGUAGGCGGGUGCAUGUGGAUUUGUUUGCAUGUGUGUGAAUCCAGAGGUUAUUCUCAGGAUUCUCAGAGGAUCAUUUCUCAGGAUGAUCAGACUUUUUUUUUUCAACACAGCUUAUUAUCCUUUAACUGUAUACUCACUGAUUUGAUUAGAAUAAGUAGUCAGUGAGCAUCAAGGAUGUGUCUGUCUCCACUUCCCCAGUACUGAGAUUACAUGUGCACACCACUUACCACAUCUUUCACAUGUGCCUGGGAAGUUAAAUUCACAUUUUCAUGCUUGUGCAGCAAAUGCCUUAACCAUUGAGAUAACUCCCCAGUCCUAAGUUUAUCUUGUGAAGGAAAGAUUAUUUGGACUAAUAUUUUGUGACCAUAGCUAAUUAUUAUUCAGGUUGUUGUAAAGUAUCAUUAUUUUGAUUUCUUUUCCCUGAAAAUGUUUGCACACAAAGGCGAUCUCCCUUUAUCAGCAACUUGGUUGUCAUGAGAUACAAGAGGAUAAAUGGUUGAUACAUUUGAUUUACUUAGAUCAGCAUUUAAACCAUUAAAUCAGGGUAGGUAAGAUGACACAGAAGAUAAAGUUGUUUGGUACCCAAACUUGACAACCUAAGUUCAAUCCUUAGACCCCAAGGUGACAUGAAGAUGUCCUCUGACUUUGAAAAUGUUCCUGUAUGUAUAUUGUGAAGUAUUCAUCAGAGAAGGCUAUGGGACAUGCAUUUAUUAGAUAGUCAGCAACUACUCUGGAUGCUUAGGGCCUGUGUCCAGUCCCAAGCAUUUCUCAGACUUACCUUUAAAGGAUGGAAGCCACAUGCUAGACUAACACACCUCAGUGAGCCAGUUCAAUUAUUCAGAAGCAGAACUACAGAAUUCAAAAGGCCUAGUACAUUUAGGAACUUUUUCAGAACUAUGGACUGUGAUGGAUUAAGUCCUCUGACAAGCGUGGCUGCCUACAUGCCGGGUUCCAAGACUUGAAUGCCACUUCCAUCCUGGAGACGGUUGUGCUAAAGUUUGGAGUCUGUUUCAUUUUUCACUGGUUCUAUGACCGAGUAAAAUCAAAGUCUUACCUGUAGCCGGAGAGUUUCAUCACCUCCUCAGCAUGAGUAUAUAGCUAAGUAGGAUAUUGAACAAGCAGUGUCCUAUAGUGAGAGUUUGGACUUAAGUAGACUAGUUAGCCAGAGAGGCAGAGAGAACCAGGAUUGGUAUGAGUUGUUAAGAUUUUUGACAGUUUUCCCUGAAGGUUAUUUUAAGCUAUACAUAUAUACAUACAUGCAUGCAUACAUACAUACAUACAUACAUACAUAAAUAUAUAGUUACACAUAUAUAAUUAUCCUUUACUUAUUGCCUAGAAUCAACAAGGUUUUCCUGGUAUCUUACAUUGACCUCCUUUUCUCAUGAAUAGGAAAUCCAAUUUUCUUUGAUUUUAAAGAACAACCUUGGCUAAGAAAUCUAACAGAAUGGGAAACAGAUGGGAAACAGCAUUUUCUUGAUGGUCCAGCUCUACGUCUACUCAAGUACUUCGUUUUUUAAAGUUUUACCUCUCAUAACCAGAGCUGAAACUCUGACUGCAGCAGAGUAUGGGACUUUUGCCCUUUUCAAAGUAAGGGGGAUGGGGAAGCCCAUAAUCUAGAUUUAGGUGGGUUCCGCCUUCUUCUCCAUUGUAGAUGAAAGCGUGUAGCAAACAUGCACAGGGUCACGGAGGAGUAUGUUCCCCUUCAGUACAAAUAAUUUGUGUAUAUUUGGUUAAGAUACUAGUGCAAGCAAGCCAGGGAGUCUUUAGAACCUUGAAUUAUAUUCAACUGCCAAUCCUGGAAUUAAUCUGCUGUGUAUUACUACAGGAAGUUGAAGAUGGGGAACUAGGUAGUAGAUGUCUUGGUGACACUAAACCGGCAUCUGUUCUUGGGGGUCCCCCAGGGUGAGCUUAGGUUAGUGUCAUUUACAGUUGCUAGUUCAUACGUGGAGAUUCUACUAAUUUUCUGGUUCUGGUCUUUUUUCAUUUUUAUACUAAAAUCCCUGGAUAAUGGGAUUUUGAGUCUUUCCCACAGGUGGACAAAACAGACAAAAUAGCACAGCCACAGUUAGAGAGCCCAUGUUUGUCUUAUCUUUAGGGGUUGGAGGACAUGGUAGAGACCCAUCUAUCAAGAUCUUCUGUGGCCUCCUUUAGCUGGGCAUGAUAAAUUCAUAGGAUAACACCAGUGACCUUCACUGAUGUAGGAGUGUUUAGGACAACAGGAUAUGGCUGUAGGUUCUGGUUCAGAAUUCUCUUUAUCCAUUAAAGGUUGCCAGACAUGAACUUGCAGGCUAGCUCAGACACUAGCAAGAAUGCAUCUGCUUGAACCAUCUGAUGAAUAGUCCUGUGGGUUUGUUUCAAAGUCUGUAAGGAGAAGAUGAGUGAAUGGUUAAUAAAUUUUGCCUAAUGAAUAUCUCAAUAUUGGGCAUAUCUGGCCCUUAGGAGAGAAAAAUGUUGGUCCAAUUUGCUCUUCUUGUGAACAUUUUUAUUUUUCUUGUUUUGAGUUUUGUGCUCUCUAGGUAUACAAUGUAGUUUCCAAUCAGCAAAUAGGACAUUUGCCAGAGUUUUGGAAACUUUGUCCAGGAAAGAGACAAAGCCACCGUCAAAUACUAGUAUGAGGGGGCAAACCAAAUUUACUCUAACAUCUUGGCUGGAGUAACUCAGCAGUUUUAGUUUCUCCUAGAUGGGUGACCUGGUAGAAUUUGUCAACUAUCUGUCUUCUCAUAAUGGCAGGGAGCAAGGGUCUCUUUACUGACAAGAACCAUCAACCAUUUACCAUUCGGCAUCUUCUCUUUGUGUCUACUUGGUUUAUUUUUGUAUAGGUUGGGAUCUAAAGCAAUUCAGAAUCAGGCAGGAUAACCAUCAUAUGGAGAUCUUCCACUGGCUCUAAGAUUCUUCCCUCUAAGGUAGCCAAGUCUGCUGUCCUUUUCCUUUAGGUCUCUGAAGAUUCCGGCUGUGUUGCCUUUUACAACGGAUGAUGACUACUUUUUCUUGGCUGGUAAUAGACCUCUAGCAUGGCCAGAGUUUCUUUAUAUUGGUUUUGUUUCUUUAUUUAGCUGAAGUCAGGGACUACUUCCUCCUCCGGCACAGAGGGCUUAAUGGACAUGGACCAUGAAAAAUGUGUACAGAAAAUGUGUAUCUGUGUAAACAGUAAUGGCUUUGCUCUUCUCCCUGGGAAGUGCCUGGGUUAACACCAGAAGCUUUACUCUUUGUAUUGAAGUUUUUGGGGUGAAGGACUGGGCCCCUACCAUCUUGUCCAAGGUGAAAAGUGUGCCCUGGGUUUACCUGAUUUCAUCUUCAAUAAAACUGCUCCCACCAGUGUAUAAGACCUUUUCUGCUCCUCCUGGUAGGGCUUCUGUUAUAUCAGGUCUGAUGGGUUGUACCACGUAAGUCAUUUUCAGGAGAAGCAUAGAUAAGGAAGUAUAAAUAGAGGCUCUUGGUGAAUCAGCACCCCAGUGGAGCAGAGCAGAAAGUGCAGCAGCCACAGAGAUGGCAACAUUUGGGUGUGGGGUCAUGAAGCAUCUGGACCUGGGGUCCUGUAGCAGCUGGAUCUGGAUUCAUGGAUCAUCUGGGUCUGGGGUUCUAAGACAAGGGUUGAUUCCCUCUUUCACUGCAGCUACUAGUGCUUGCAUAUAGUCAGUGCCAGCUUAGAUGAGCUGAACUCCAAGUGCUUGCUAUGCUCCAGGGUAUCCUCCUUCACAAGGCUCUAUGCCAGAUGACCCAGUCUAUAUCUGUUGCCACAUCAUGGAAUUAUACUCUGUUUUGCAUCCAGUUUGGUUGGGGGCAUUUGACGACCUUAAGUUCAUGGCUGGCUUGGAGAAGCUCUCUCAGAUUAUCUAUCAUCUGGCAGCAGGCUGGCUAGGCUCAUGGUUGGAGUUUUAUAGAACUAGAAACUGAACUGAUGCAGAAAAGUGCUCUGCUAAUGCAUUAUUUGGGAGUUGUAAAUCCACCUCUCUGGAAUAUACAACUUCUAUAGGCCUUCCAAAGAGUCAACUACAGAGUGCUGAUUGGUUAGGAUAGUGCUGAUACUUUCUGUCCCAAAGUUAGUUUGCCAGCUUCUUUUGUAGUAUGAUUGAGGUGGCAACUGCCUAUAAACAGGCCACCUAACUGGAAGAAGCAGAAUUAAGCCUUUUGAACAGAUAGGCCACAGGCCUCUUUGAGGGUCCCAGUGCUUUGGCAAGGACACCCUUUUUAAUCACUUAAGUAGGGUGGAUUAUUCUUGUUUCCCUUCCAUUCCUAGUGUCUCUGGUUUCCCUCUAUAGGGUAUCUUUUACAUUGCCUCCAUAUUGUAAAUGAUUUGAAUAUUCAUCAACAUUUGGGACCUGUUCAUAUUCCCAAACUCUUCUUACUUCUAAAGUUUUAUUUUAUAAUAUCUGGGGCCAACUGCAAUAAAAAACAAAUAAACAAACAAUAUAUUUUAGCACCUAUCAUUAGCCUUUAAAAAAGGGCUGGAAAAAUUUUCCCAGAGUCUCCUUGCAUUGGUCAGUCUUGGCGUCCUAGUCAGGUCAGAUAGAGGGGAAAUCUGGUCUAUCCUGGCUUCACUGUCCCACAGCGAUUCCCUUCCUGGCUGGCUUUUCUAUUAUUCUCUGGGGCUUGUUUCUCUAUUCUUAUCAGAGAAUGGUUAGUUCUGAUUGGUGGGUUUUGAAUUGUAUAGACCAAUGGUUGAAAACAGAAUGUUUAACAAAACAGUUGGAGCCUGAGUGAGCACUCCAGCAGUAGGAAGGGAAAGAUUAUUUUCUUCAAAUAGGACUGAAAUAAUAAUUCAGUGUUAUUCUGGGCAACAUGGCCAAUCCACAAGUUUUGGAUCUUCAACAAGAGAACACAAGUGUUGAGUCACAUUUGGGAGAGAAGUGUCUCACACCAAAAAGAGACACUAUUUGGAAAAUGUUUUGGGGUGGCUGGUGUCUCUCUGUCAUACUUCAGAUGACAUGAACUAUACUGGGCGACCUGCAUCGAAAAGAGGGCUAAUCAAUUUCACAGAAGGUCUGUAAUGUCCUGAGUGAGAAGCAGACAUAUUUGUUUUCACCUAAAAACUUCCUUUGGACCAUGGGGACCAAUGCUCACCUUCUCUUCUGAAGAGCUCCCACCAGCAGCUGUAAUUGUGACAUGUAGUCAUAGGGUACACGCACAGCAAAGGCAGGUGGCCUGGAAUAGCUUGUAGGCCUGUGGGAAGUCAUCAGCUAUUUGGGGGGCAGUUUUAGCUACUAUCUUGGGAUAGCUCAUUCCAUUUCCCAUUUUACAUCUGUUUCUCCAUCUCUCAGAACUAACAAAACAAAUUGAGAGACACAAAUGGGAAGACACAAAGCAAAGGCAAACAGAGCUGGCUACCAUUCAUUCCUUUACCUGAACAGACCAGAGGAGUCUAGUGAUAUCUUACAUAGAUCCCAGACACUGUAUCAGUCUCCACUUUGUGUCCUAAACAAAAAGUACCUUAACUAGACUUACUUCUGGAGCCGACAGAUGAGGAAAGACUUAAGUUUGUUCCCUUUUGAGGUGGACAUAUCAGAUUUCUUUGAAACAUUAGUCAGUGAUUGAACAGAGGAAGUCUUGGGCCAUGGAAUUGUCUUAGAUUGUAUAACCUCUAGAAGUCCUUGGACCACCACACUUUUCACUCCUAUGGGCUCUGAGACCCAUGUAGUCUUGAGUUCUGGUUUCUGGAGAUCUUGCUGGGGCCUCCAGAAAUGUUCUAGGGAAUCCACCAGAGAGUACUACUGGGUUAAGUUCAAGCCAAUAAAAAGUAUUUAUUGGUCUGUCAGCAACUACAUUGGGUGUUUGGGACAAAAAUGUGGCCCUAAGACUAUCUCAAGAUGGGUUUAAUUAAAAAGAAAAUCACAUCUUAAAUUGACGUACCUCAGAAAGAACAGUUGUACAGAAGCAGAACUAUGCCAAAAUGCUAGGUUAGCAUAUUUAAGGACUUUCCCAGACUAUGGAAUUUGAUAGAUCAGGUCUUUGUUUUUAUUUGGGCAGGGGGUGUUGCCUACAUGCUGAGUUUUACAACUUAAGUGGUAUUUCCUUAGUUGUGCUAAGGCCCUACUAAGGUUUGGGAGUCUGUUACACUUAUGCCUUCCCAACCUCAUUUCUCUCCCCCCCCUCUCUCUCACACACACACACUCUCUCUCUCUCUCUUUCUCUCUCUCUCUCCCACAAAUACAAGUGAUAAAGUUAAAAAAUAAGAGUUUAAUUGGACGAUAUUCUAUAGUGUCCAUAGGUAAUCACUGAGUUUUUAGAAAUAGUCCUGAGAAAUAAUGGUUUGAAAAAAAUGAGAUGUCUCAAGUUGUUACACUUACUAACCAUAGAUAAGCUUGAUUAUUUAUCUUUAUUCAAUGAGAGCUAAUUUAGGUGAUUUCAUGAAUACAUUGGAGCCUUGAUUUCUGAUAUAUAAGAUAUUCUAGGCUCAUCCAUGAUCCCAAAGAGAUUCCAGUGUUCUUCCUAUUGGAAAUGAUAUUUAUUCAUAACACAGUCUAAUAAUUGAGAGGUUGUUGUCAUUCUUUUUUUGACAAAAGAAAGAAAUUUUUUAAAAGAAAAUAAAAAUAAAUUAUAAGUUUAUACCAGUGGUUCCUGUCCAAUUUAGUACUAUAGAAUUUUUUCUUUUUUGUUGGAUAUUUUAUGUAUUUUCAUUUCCAAUGUUAUCCCCUUUUCUCCCUCUCCCAUUCCCCCUCCUGCUUCCCCUGCCACUAUGAAGAUGAUUCCACUCCCACCCACCAACGCCUCCCUCAAUGCCCUGGCAUUCUGCUACACUGGAGAAACAAGCAUUCACAGGACCAAGGGCUUCUCCUCCUAUUGACGUGAUUCUUCAUUUCUUACCCCUCCCCAUGCUGACAAUCUUUGUUUUCAACAGCACCACUUUGAUUACUCAUUUGUUUUUAUCCCACAUUACAUAUAAAACAUACACUAUGAAACUACCACCAACAAUUUGAUUGCUCAGAGAUCAGCUCAUGAUUUACUGUUUUUGAAAUUCAUUUAACCCUCUGGGAAUACAUUAUAACAGAUGUACUUUGAAAAGCUGCUUGAUUGUAACUUAGAAUGUUUUUUCUCUUAGCUGCAAUAUCACAGACUGGAGGUUUAGUUAGAUCUAUUCGUUUCCUGUGACAUUUAGUAUUUAGAGAGCUUCUACUAAAUAUAAAUUAUAUUUAAUAAUUGUGGGUCUGUUGAGAUGGCUCACAGUUACUAGGGCUUACUGCUUUUGCCAAGAAGAGCUGGGUCAAUUGUCAACACACACAACCAACAGCUCACAACUCUCUGUGACUCCAAGGAAUCUGACACUCUCUUCUUGCUCCUGAGAACAUCUGUACACAUUUGUGUACAUACAUACACACAGAGACACAUGGAAAAUGAAUAAAUAUGAAAAUUAUAAUUAAUAAAGUGUACAAUGUAUAGUAUAAGUGCUAAUUUAUAUGUUUUAGUAAAAGCAUUAGACACUGAGAUAUCAGAUAUGUUGGAUUGCUCUCUUUCCAUCAGGGGAGUUUUAGUGACCAUUCAUAAAUUUCUAUGCUUUGAAAUUUUUUGUUAUAAUAAAAGAUAUAAGGUUCACUCAACUAGACAUAGAUCUAGAAAGAAAAAGAAUGGACCUGGCAGGAACCAAGCACAUAAAGAUGCUUGGCAACAUAAAAACAUCAGAGAUUUUUGAAUCUGUAGAUUGCUUUCAGCAAGAUGGCCAUUUUGACUAUAUUAAUCCUGCCAAUCCAUGAGCAUGGGAGAUCAUUCCAUCGUCUGAGAUCUUCAAUUUCUUUCUUAAGAGACUUGAAGUUCUUGUCAUACAGAUCUUUCACUUCCUUGGUUAGAGUCACAGCAAAUAAUAUAUUAUAUUGUGAAGGGUGUCAUUUCCCUAAUUUCUUUCUUACCCUGUUUAUCCUUUGAGUAGAGAAAAGCUACUGACUUGUUUGAGUUCUUUUUAUAUCCAGUUACUUUGCUGAACUUGUUUAUCAGGCUUAGGAGUUCUCUGGUGAAACUUUUGGGGUCACGUAAGUAUACUAUCAUAUCAUCUGCAAAUAGUGAUAUAUUGACUUCUUCCUUUCCAAUUUGUAUCCCUUUGACCUCCUUUCAUUGUCUGAUUGCUCUGGCUAAGACUUCAAGUACUAUACUGAAUAAGUAGGGAGAGAGUGGACAUCCUUGAAUGGAAAUUAACUCAUUCUUAUCUCCUUGUGUAAAGCACAAGUCCAAGUGGAUCAUUAACCUCCACAUAAAAUCAGAUACACUGAAACUAAUAGAAGAGAAAGUAGGGAAGAACCUGGAACACAUGGGCACAGGAGAAAAUUUCCUGAACAGAACACCAAUGGCUUAUGUUAUAAGAUCAAGAAUCAACAAUUAGGACCUUGUAAAAUUGUUAUGGGAGAGGAGGGAAAAGGGAGGGAUAACACUUGAAAUGUAAAUACAUAUAAUAUCAAAGAAAAAUAAAAUAAUAAAAAUCUGAGAAACUGUUCCAUUCUCUUUGUCAUAGAGAAGAAAGAACUUCAAGCAAUAAUUCCUACGAAAGGUUUGAAAUUGAAGGAAAAUUUUCAGCCACUAUUUCUCACCUUUGUGAUAUUUUUGUGGUCUGGUUACAAAGUUGAUAGUAAGAGAUCAUUUAUGACUUGCUAUUCUAUACUUUUUUCUGACAUCUAUCAUAAACAUUUUCCACAGUUCAGCAUAUUCCCCCCAUUAACAUUUUAAUGAGUACACAUUGCUCCAUCCCAAGGACAGAUCUUAUUAAUUAACCUUAUCACUGCAGAACAUUUAGAGCAGUUGUUCGUUCAUUCAUUCAUUCAUUCAUUCAUUCAUUCAUUUUUUUGCUGUUAUAAUCUUUUUCUUAUUCAAGGAAUACAUGCUAUUUUUUAAAAAAAUCUUUAAAAUAAUUGAGAAAUUAUUUUGUAAUGUGGCCACAGUAGAAUGUGGUAACUUUGAUAUCUGGGUGUAAAAUGUAUUGUCAAACACUGUCUACCAAUUAAGUUAAAUAUUUGUCAAAUAGGAUAUAAAGAAGAACAAAAACAUUAAAAACCAGCUUCCAAAAGAAUAAAAAUAUCUGGGGAUUUUUGAAACUUUGAUUUGAAUUUAGAAUUGGUGACAAGAUCUCUCUGAUCUCAAGACACAGAUAGUGAUACCAGUUAGCAUGUGAGUUAUUUUUCUCUGACAGUUAAUGAAUUAAAAGAUGAGAAAAGGUCUCAGUGCAAAGCAAUGGAGAGAAAUUUAUCAGCACUAUAAGCUUCUGAGUUAGAGAAAGGACCUUCUGGUCCGCGUUGACUCCAACACUCAGAGGCAGUUUGGAUUUUUGUUUGGGUUUAGAGUGGCCCACUCAGGAAUUCCUCUGUCCUUUCAUUGAUUUAAAAGGGGUCUAAGUGCCUCUUCUUGUAGUAGUGACUGCCACAGACUCUGUCCGUGAGUGCUGGGGAACACUAAAUCUGCUCUUUGUGCUAUAACAGGUUCAAGAGGAUCCACUGCAUUCGAGGGUAAAUGCCCUAUGUUUUGGAGAAAUGAAAUUUUAUUGCUGGAAAUAAAAUGUCUAACCACAAAUUGAUGCUUUUUGCCUAUUAUUUGGAGCAAAGGUCAUAAAAGUCCUCCAACUGGGAUUUUUCUUUCCUAUUUUCACAUCCUCAUGGCACAGAAAUUCUAAAUAGUAGCAAGAGCUAGACACAUUAUUGAAACAUAUGAGGCAGAAGAAAUUGAAUAUUAAAAUGACAUGAUCCCUAUGUAUCCAGUUUUUCUUGUAUCAACUUCUUUGCAUGUUUCUCAAGAGGAUGCUAAGAGAUGGAUUCAGUAGAUGAUACAAUCUCUGCAGACUUUAUGGGCAUCCAAUUACACUGUGGCACCCCUUCACCAUCAUCCUAUAUAUUUCACUGUUCGUCUGAGCAUCCUUUGCAGCUCAGUUGGUUACAUGCAGAGCUUUAUCUCAAGAGAGGGGGAUCUCAGUUGCAGAGUUCAAGAUGAGAGAAGACUUGUUACUAAGAUCAAACAAGUUGUUAAAGGCCAGGUUAAUGACUAAGGUUGGCAAAAGACUUUGCAAAAGAAAAUUACUAGCUAAUUAGCAUAGCUGUCUCUAUCCUUACCACUUCUUCAUUUCUCAUUGAAGUCACUGAAAAUCUGAAUGAAAUCAUAUUCAGCCAAAAACGAAGAUAAUUAGUUAUGUUUCCUGCUUGGAACAUGACUGUGUCCUACCCACUUAAAUCCCAGUAGGGAUUAUCUUUGGUGGAAAAGUUCCUGAAAAAUGUCACUGCAUAAUUCAAAAUACUGCCCUUUGUUUAGGUUUACAAAAAAAUCAUUCUGUGAGGAAUUAAAUCUCUAUCAUAUAUCCAACCUUUGGGCAUUUUGACAUGAUAUUGUCAUCUGCAAAGUCCUUGAUAGGAAUCACACAAUAAAGUUACAUAGAAAACUCAGAAAACCAAACCAAACCAAACCAAAUCUCCUCUACUGUUUUCAGUAAAUUCAUGAUUCUCAUUGGGUCAGACUCAUAGCUACUCUAUUAUUGAUGUAAUCUAUAAGCUACAAAUCGGACACACCAGCUUUAAAAUAUCUCGUUCUACAGUCUUAGUGUUUAUAAAAAUUGGCCUUGUCAUUUCUCAAACCAUAGUUAAUUAUCUAGUCUAGUCCAAAUUUUGCUGCAGAAUGUGAGUUUCAGCUGUUGCAAACCUACCUUAAAAUAUCCAAGAUACACCAUAAUAAUGUGUCUUUCUCUGAAUUUAAAUGAUAAUAGUGAAGACCAAAUGUUAAAAGUGAAUUUUAGAACCAUAUUAAAACUUAUCUCUCCAAGAUACACCUGCAUUGGUAAGGAAAAACAUGAGGAUUUAAGAAUGAUGUGCUUUGGAUAUGUGUCUGAAUACCUGAUAACUGUUUUGGAAUGUGUGACCUAGCUUACAGAUAAUAGCAAAAAGGGUUAGAGAGAUUGCCAGACUGUCUGCCCUAGAUCUGGUCAUAUUCUUCUCAGAUAUGAGCUAUCCUCUGCUAGUAUUCUCCUGAUGCCUUGAGCCAUUUCCUUCUAUGCCUUCCCUGUAACUGGAUCCCUCAAACCAAAUUAAACCAAUCUAGGAAAAGCAAUGCUAUGUGUUUACCUACUAGUUUCCCCUAGAUUUUAUGCAGAUUUACAAAAAGUGUAUGACAUUAAAAUAAAGGUAGAAUACAGGAAGAGAAUAGGUGGUAAAAGAAAAGGUAGAGUUUGGCCAGUGCAUGACCAGCAUACAAUUUAUAUCUGUAUAACAACUUAAAAUAUAUCUUUAUCAGGCAAUGGUGGUGCAUGGUAUUAGCACUCAAGAGGCAGAGGCAAGUGAAUCUCAUUGAGUUUGAGGCCAUGUUGGUCUACAGAGUGAGUUCCAUGUCUGCUAGGGAUAUAUAUAUAUAUCCCCUCUCAAGAAUCCCCUAAUUAAUUAAUUAACUAAUAAAUUAAUUAGGUAAAUAAAAAUUUGAAAGUCUCUCCAGUUAUUACCUAGGAAUGUUCUCUAUCCCUUUACUUGCAUUAGCCACAAGCAUUUACUAGGAGAAAAGUCAGUUUUCUAAGUACAAGGCUUGCCUUGGGUAGUGAUUUUGUUAUUUUAAAAUAAGUUGGACACUUCAAUUACUCCAGCUGUGAUUGAAUUAUGAGUUUUCUUUAAAAGUAAUUUUACUGGAGAAACAUUUAUUAUCUGAGAGUUAUCAGAAAGUUCACCACUUUUUCUUAUAAUGUCUAAAUAUUUCUAUAUUAUCAGAAAAAUAGAUUGGUCACAUUCUAUACCCAUGUGUUUAUUUCUUUCUCAUCUAAAAUAAACUAUAUGUCUCAAAAUACUUUCUCUCUCAACUUUACUAUACACUUCUUUCCAGAGCAAGAGAUAAUUUUAAGACUAACACAAUUAUUAACAUUUUUAUAUCAUAGUGAUAUUCAAAACUACCCAAAUGUACUACUGCAUCCAUAGCUAGAGUUUAUUUAUCAAUUAACAUCCCACCUGGCUUAAAUGUUUGUAACCAUGUUUUUUUCUAUCCCUCUUUUACUCCAGGAUAUCCCCUCCAUUGCUUUUGUCUAUGGGAACCUUGGAAAGGAGCUGUGUUUUCAGAGACUGAUAGACUGAUUAAACUGCAAUGAUAUGGAGAGAUUGGAUGAUUGGUUCAGAGACUAAUUGCCAUAUCUUGAGUUAGCUUAAGUUCCUUAAUAGCCAUUCCUUACCCACUUCUAUUUCAGAAUUAACAUCCUAUGCCUAAUAGAUCAAAACCUUCCAGAAUCUAUAACUUAGCAGAUCACUAGUUUCCCCCAACUCAAAAGCUAAAUAUGUCAUCUGAUAGCAUCUUAGAAAAAGAAAAGCUUCUUCUAUCUUGCUGAGAUUGUCUCUCUAAUAUUUACAACAUUGAAAAGUGUCAUAAUUUAUGGCUUUCUUUGUCCCAUUACUAUAGAAUCUUCAUAAAACAGCUUCCCAGUCUAAAUAUGGAAUUUGGGGUGACCUAAAUCUAUAUUAACAGGCCAUGAACACUCAAAUUUUACUCUAGGAUAAAUUAUUAUAUAUUUGUAUUGAGCUGAGAACUGUGUUGUUUGUGUUGAUCCUCUAAUGACUACAUCUCUUUUCCAUGGGUAAUGAGUUUUUUGUUUUGUUUUGUUUUGUUUUGUUUUGUUUUUUACUUGAUCAUAGGCAACUCAACAGUGUCUACACCACUGGAGAAAAGUGGAAGAUUGUUAUUCAUUGCCUAGUAGCCUCCAAGUGCAUACAGUUCCACAGACAGGAAUCAGGCAUGAUCCCCCUCCUGGCCUGUGCUGGAUGAUUAGAUGGCCCAAUCUUGUGUAGGUCUUGCAGGUAUACAGUCAGUGUGCUAUAUUCUAUACCUCUUCGUUGCUUGUUCAUUCAAUGAAGACUCCAGAUAUUAUUUCUACAAAACCUCUCACAAUCUACAGUUUUUACAUUUUGGCCUUCUUAAUGUUUAACAUUUUCCUUUAUUCUGUAUACUUACUAUAAGGUGAAAUCAUUUCAUUUGAGGCUAAUACUUUCUGCCUUUCAUGCGAUAUCAGAUCACUCUGACAUGAAAGAUCUGAACAUGUACACUUGUCUGAUAGUGUGUUACUUUUGUACCUUCCCUUUAUAAUUAUGAGAAAUCUUCAUGAGUACUCUGCACCUCAGCUGCUUUUCCACUAAUAGAUUUUCACAUUCAUUAGCAACUUGGCCCUUAAAAAUUAAAGUCAUGCAAGCUUGCAAAGUGGCCAUGUAUUCUUCCUUUUGUAUUUAUUACACAAAUACUCUAGAAGGAAAAUUUUUUUCUCACUCUCUUUUUCUUUUGUUAGAACAUAAUUACAAACCAAGAUAGUAGAAGGGACUUUUUUAUUGUGUGUGUGUGUGUGUGGGCAGUGCAAGCACAUGUGUCUGUGCAUACACAUGAAGGCAAGGGAAGAUCCUUAUGAUUUCUAAGAUGCUAUCUACCUUGUUUUUUGAGACAAGGUCUAUAAUUGGCCUGUAACACUGUCCUUGUGAUAGUCGGGCUGACCAGCAAGUACAUGAUAUUCAUUUGCCUUCCUUCCUCUCCAUAAAUGGCAUUAUAAGCACUCACUACCUCACCCAACUUUCAUACAUGUGUUCUUGGGAUCAAAUUCAAGCCCUAGUGCUUGCAAGGCUAACUCAGCCAUUUUUGAAAUGGUCCAGGGUUCUUUCCACAGGAAACAGGAUUUAGACAUCAAAAGCUUGGGGCUAGAGAGAUGCCUCAGUAGUUAAGAGUACUGAAUUCUCUUCCAGAGGUCUUGAGUUCAAAUUUCAGCAACCACAUGGUGGCUCACAACCAUUUGUAAUGAGAUCUGAUGCUCUUGUCUGGUGUGUCUGAAGAUAGCUACAGUGUACUUAUAUAUAAUAAAUGCAUCUUAAAAGAUAAAAAAUGAAAUCAAAAGCUCAUGAUUGAGUGUGCUCAAAGAAAUUGAGUCUGGUGUGCUUCCCCCCAUCCCAGACAAGCAAAUAUCAUUGCAAUGAGUCACUUAUCUUGUUCAAGGUUUCUAGUUUAUGAAGCAAUAUAAAUACUGGGCCAUUUGUGGAACUGGUUUCAGAUUUCCUGCUGUGCCAGAGUCAUGGUGAUCCUGCAGUUCUAGUUCUGCAGGACAGGCUACUUCAUGCUCUUCAGCAUAGAUAUUGUGAGGGACUAAUUCAAAUUGCUGGAUCUGGGCCCAAAUUGUAGCUGAACUUUGUCAGCAGGCAGUAGGGGUGGGAUUGGAUCAGGGGUGAGGGGAAUACAAACUCUGGUCCCCUGCAGGAGCAGUACAUAGCUUUAACCACUGUAUUACAUUGGGAAUUUUGGCUUUUAACUAUCACUGUUAACUUAUGUGAAUGGAUUAUAUUUUUCUCCAUUCUAGUUGAUUUAAUUUGUAUAUUAUGGUUAAUUUUAUUGAGAUUAAUUUAGAUAAGCAUUGUCUUUAGAGGUAUAUUAUAUAUGAAUAUAUAUGGAUAUGUUUCAAAAGAUAGUCCCAAUAAUAUAAAAUAAAUAUUAUGUUCAAUAUGUAUUUAAAAGAAUUACUGUAUUUUCAACAAGAUUUAUUUUCAAUUAUGUUUAUAUCUAAGGCCUGGUAUGUGUGCAUGAGGGCAGAUACCUUUGCAGGCUAGAGCACUGAAUCCCUGGAGCUGGGUUACUGGUGUUUAUGAACAGCCCAGUAUGUGUAUAAGAAACUAAACUCAGAUACUCUAAAGGAACAGCAGUGCUCUUAAUCACUAGAUUCCAGUAUUAACUUAUUUUGUUACUUUGUUAAAUUAAAUUUAUUUCUACUUGUCUUCCUCUCAUCCAUCCUGUUUCCUUCCCUUAUGUGAUUCUGUUUCUUUUUAGUCUUCCUUCAGUCAUUCAGAGACAGGAAACAUUUAUUUUUAAAUCUACCGAACUACAGUGUGUUGGUUCCUUGUUUAAACUUGGAGAUGAGGAGGCCAUAGGUACCCCUGAAGUUGCUACUGCAGAAUCAGUCCAAGACCCUGGAGAAAACAAAAUAUAAAAACUAUGGAAUCAGUAGGUUUUGUUCUCUAAGGCCUUUGAAGAAAAUCAUUUAAUGUCCUGGUGCUUUUUCCCCCUCAGUUAUGAAUUAGGGAUAAAAACACCCACUUCACAAAACUGUAGCCAGAAAAGAAGGUAGUUUGUGCAGAAUAAGUCACAGAUUGCUAGCUACAUUGCAAUUGCUGACUGUGUGUUACCCAUUAUCGUAAGUACUAAAAUUAUAGUGAUCAAAAAAAAGGACUUAAAUCAUUCUAUUUGUGUGCGAUUGAGUUGAUUCUAUUUAAUACAAUUAUAAUUUCCAAAGAAUUGGUUAACUUAAAUCACUAGCCAUAAGAAAGUAAGUGAGCCUUGGCAGGGUCACUUAUGGCUCCCAAAGGGCUGUGGUAACAUACUUAUUACUGCUUUUUAAAUGUGUUUUUAGUUUCUAAUUGAAUAUUUAAUUGUAUUAUUUAGUUUGUUCAUGUUUAGUUUCUUGAGGUCUUUAUAUAUUUUGAAUAUUAGCCCUAUGUCAGAUGUGGAGUUGGCAAAGAUAUUUUUCCAGUCUGUAUGCUGCCAUUUAGUCCUAUUGGUAGUAUCCUUUACUCUGUGAAAGCCUUUUAGUUUUAUGAGGUCUCAUUUAGUAAUUGUUGAUCUUACUACCUGAGCUGUUGUUUGUCCUGUUCAGGAAAUUAUCUUCUGUGCCAAUUCAUUCAAGACUAUUCUCCCCAUGCUCUUCCAUCAGAAGAGAUAGUAUACCUGUUUUAUGUUGAGGUCUUUGAAUUACUUGGACUUGAAUUUUGUGCAGGGAGAUACAUAUGGAUUCAUUUUCAUUCAUCUAUAUGCAGACAUCCAGUUAGACCAGCACCAUUUGCUGCAAAGGCUUUUGUUUUUCAAUUGAAAAUUACUAACUUCUUUAUCAAAAAAUCAGAUGUUCAUGGUGUGUGAUUUCAUGUCUUGAAAUUCAGUUUGAUUUGAUUGAUCAAUGUGUGUUUUUAUGUUAAUCUCCAGUCAUUUUUAUUAGUGAAGCUGUAUAGCACAGCUCGAGGUCAGGGGUGAUCAUUCGCUCAGGUCUUUUACUAUAGAUCAUUGUUUUCGCUCUCCUGGGUUUUUGUUUGUUUGUUUGUUUGUUUGUUUGUCUAUAUGAAUUUGGGUAUUGUUCUAUCAAGAUCUGUAAAGAAUUGUUUUGGAAAUUUGAUGGGGAUUGUGGUGAAUAUGUAGAUUGCUUUUUGUAGGAUAGCCAUUUUCACUAUGUUUAUCCUAUCAAUCUUUGAUCAUGGCAAAUCUUUCCAUCUUUUGAUAUCUCUUUUAAUUUCCUUCUUCAACACUUGAAGUUCCUGUCAUAUUUCUCUUUCACUCAUUUGGUUAUAGCUGCCCCAAGAUAUUUUAUAUUAUUUGUGGCUAUUGUGAACGAUGUCACCAUGAUUCUUUCUCAGCUGGCUUGUCAUUUGUAUAUAGGAGAGCUACUGAUUUUUCAAUCUUGUAUCCUACAACUUCACUGAACUUAUUAGCUGUAGGAGUUUUCUGGUAGAAAUCUAACAUGUAUACUAUCAUAUCAUUUGCAAAUAGCAACUCUUUGAAUUCUUCCAUUCCAAUUUUUCUCCUUGAUAUCCUUUAGUUAUUUUAUCAUUUUAGCUAGAACUUCAAGUACUAUAUUGAAGAGAUAGGAAGAGAGUUGACAACUUUGUCUUUACUGGCAUUUCUGUAAGUUUCUCUCCAUUGAAUUUAAUGUUGGCUGUAGGCUUGCUUAAAAUUGCCUUUGUUACAUUUAGAUAUGUCUCUUGUAUCCUUGAUCUCUCCAAGACUUUUAUCAUGAAGAGGUGUUAGAUUUUGUCAAAGAUUUUUUUCAGCAUCUCAUGAGAUGAUCUCAUUUUUUUCAGUUUAUAUGGUGAAUUACAUUGGCAGAUUUUCAUAUAUUGAACCAUACCAGCAUCUCUGAGGUAAAGUGGACUUGAUAAUUGUGUAUGAUCUUUUAAAUGUGUUUUUGGAUUCAGUUUACAGUAUUCUAUUGCAUCUUUUGUAUCAAUGUUCAUAAGGAGAAUCAGCAUGUUUCUUUCUUUGUUGAAUCUUUAUGUGGUUUGGGUGUCAGGGAGAGGGUGACCUCAUAGAAUGAGUUUGGCAAUGUUCCCUCUGUUUCUAUUUUGUGGAGUAAUUUGAGAACUAUUAUAUAGAAUUAGGUCUUCUUUGACAGUCUGGUAUAGAUCGAAACAGAAUUCUCAUCAGAGGAAUCUCAAGUGACCAGGAAACAGGUAAAGAAAUGUUCAACAUCUUUAUCCAUCAGAAAAAUGUAAACCAAAAUAUCUUUCAGAUUUCAAAUCAUACCUGUCAGAAUGCCUAGAUCCAAAACACCAAUGAUAGCUUAUGCUGCCAAGGGUAUGGAGCAAAAGAAACAUUCCUCUCCCAUUGGUGGGACUGCAAACUUGUACAGACACUUUGGAACUCAAUAUGUCAGUUUCUAAAAAAAUUGGAAAUUGAGCUACAUCAAGACCCAGCUAUUCCACUCUUGAGCAUAUAACAAAAGGACACUUCAUCCUAUCCCAGGGAUAUGCACUCAGUUUUGUUCAUAAUAACUAUAUAUAUAUCAUAGCCAGAAACUAAAACAACCAAGAUUUCCCUCAACUGAAGAAUGGAUUAAGAAUAUGUGGCACAUUUGCACAAUGGAGUAUCACUCAGCUGUUAUAAGCAAGAACGUCAUGAUAUUUUCCAGCAAAUAGAUAGAACUAGAAAACACCAUCCUGACUGAAGUAAUCCAGAUCCAGAAAGACAAACACGGUAUGUACUCACUUAUAAAUGGAUAUUAGUGGUAAAAGUAAAAUGCAAUCUUGCUGCAGUCCACAGACCCAGAGAGGCUAAGCAAGCUUUAGAGCUUGAAGGAGUGGUACAAGGUUAUCCCAGAAAAGGGGAAAUAAAAUAGAUUUUGCAGGUGGACUGGAGACUGGUGGGGUUGGGAACAGGAAAGAUCAGACA